GAUUGAAGAAGUUAACUAUUACAAAGCGUAAUCGGUAAUCUUUCGAUACAUUUUGUAAUAGUUAGCUUUUUUUGUUUCAACACGAGGAAAGCCUAUUAUUUAAUAAUUUAUUUGGAGGUCAUCACUCAUGACACAAGGUACAGUAAAAUGGUUUAACGCAGAAAAAGGUUUCGGUUUCAUCGAAGUUGAAGGCGGAGCAGACGUAUUCGCACACUUCUCAGCAAUUCAAGGCGACGGUUUCAAAACUUUAGAAGAAGGCCAAAAAGUUGAGUUCGAAAUCGAACAAGGCGCUCGUGGUCCUCAAGCUUCUAACAUCGUAAAACUUUAAUUUUACAUUCCAAACACGUUAAGGGUAAAUACCCUUAACGUGUUU
Molecule: small RNA, 373 nt
Filed under: Caryophanon tenue
Lineage: Bacteria; Bacillati; Bacillota; Bacilli; Caryophanales; Caryophanaceae
Description: cspA thermoregulator
Rfam family: cspA thermoregulator (bases 57-373)
Source: Rfam by way of RNAcentral